RNAcentral lists this ribosomal RNA (429 nucleotides) under uncultured bacterium. RNAcentral's name for it is "bacterial SSU rRNA". It matches the Rfam family "Bacterial small subunit ribosomal RNA", at positions 355 to 775 of the family's 1533-position model. The record is from RNAcentral.
UGGGGAAUAUUGGGCAAUGGGCGAAAGCCUGACCCAGCGACGCCGCGUGGGUGAUGAAGGCCUUCGGGUUGUAAAGCCCUGUCAUGCGGAAAGAACAGUCUCGUAGUGAAUAACUACGUGAUUUGACGGUACCGCAGGAGGAAGCACCGGCUAACUCCGUGCCGGCAGCCGCGGUAAUACGGAGGGUGCAAGCGUUGUUCGGAAUUAUUGGGCGUAAAGGGCGCGUAGGCGGUAAUGAAAGUCAGAUGUGAAAUACUUCGGCUCAACUGAAGAACUGCAUCUGAAACUUCAUAACUAGAGUACGGAAGAGGGAAAUGGAAUUCCCGGUGUAGAGGUGAAAUUCGUAGAUAUCGGGAGGAACACCAGUGGCGAAGGCGAUUUCCUGGUCUGGUACUGACGCUGAGGCGCGAAAGUGUGGGGAGCAAACAG